UAGGGAAUCUUCCACAAUGGACGCAAGUCUGAUGGAGCAACGCCGCGUGAGUGAAGAAGGUUUUCGGAUCGUAAAGCUCUGUUGUUGGUGAAGAAGGAUAGAGGCAGUAACUGGUCUUUAUUUGACGGUAAUCAACCAGAAAGUCACGGCUAACUACGUGCCAGCAGCCGCGGUAAUACGUAGGUGGCAAGCGUUGUCCGGAUUUAUUGGGCGUAAAGCGAGCGCAGGCGGAAUGAUAAGUCUGAUGUGAAAGCCCACGGCUCAACCGUGGAACUGCAUCGGAAACUGUCAUUCUUGAGUGCAGAAGAGGAGAGUNACUGACC
RNAcentral lists this ribosomal RNA (323 nucleotides) under uncultured bacterium. Its description in RNAcentral is "partial 16S ribosomal RNA". It matches the Rfam family "Bacterial small subunit ribosomal RNA", at positions 355 to 670 of the family's 1533-position model. The record is from RNAcentral.